This 440-nucleotide ribosomal RNA is filed under the name uncultured bacterium. RNAcentral's name for it is "partial 16S ribosomal RNA". It matches the Rfam family "Bacterial small subunit ribosomal RNA", at positions 338 to 795 of the family's 1533-position model. The record is from RNAcentral.
CCUACGGGAGGCAGCAGUAGGGAAUAUUGCUCAAUGGGGGAAACCCUGAAGCAGCAACGCCGCGUGGAGGAUGAAGGUUUUAGGAUUGUAAACUCCUUUUGUUAGAGAAGUCCAUGACGGUACCUAUCCAAUAAUCACCGGCUAACUCCGUGCCAGCAGCCGCGGUAACACGGAGGGCGCAAGCGUUACUCGGAAUCACCGGGCGUAAAGGGUGCGUAGGCGGGGUGAUAAGUCAGAUGUGAAAUCCUGUGGCUUAACUGCAGAACUGCAUUUGAAACUGUUAGUCUGGAGUGUGGGAGAGGUAGGUGGAAUUCUUGGUGUAGAGGUGAAAUCCGUAGAGAUCAGGAGGAAUACUCAUUGCGAAGGCGACCUGCUGGAACAUAACUGACGCUGAUGCACGAAAGCGUGGGGAGCAAACAGGAUUAGAUACCCCAGUAGUC